RNAcentral lists this ribosomal RNA (675 nucleotides) under Lolium multiflorum (Italian ryegrass). RNAcentral describes it as "eukaryotic LSU rRNA". The stretch from base 258 to 413 matches the Rfam family "5.8S ribosomal RNA". The record is from RNAcentral. Lineage: Eukaryota; Viridiplantae; Streptophyta; Magnoliopsida; Poales; Poaceae.
GUUUCCGUAGGUGAACCUGCGGAAGGAUCAUUGUCGUGACCCUGACCAAAACAGACCGCGCACGAGUUAUCUAGCCCGCUGGGCGGCGGCAUCGUCCGUCGCUUGGCAAAAGUCCUCGACAACCUCAUCUUUUCGGAGUUGGGGCUCGGGGUAAAAGAACCCACGGCGCCGAAGGCGUCAAGGAACACUGUGCCUAACGAGGGGAUGUGGCUGGCUUGCUAGCCGCACCCCGAGUUGCAAUUCUAUAUAAUCCACACGACUCUCGGCAACGGAUAUCUCGGCUCUCGCAUCGAUGAAGAACGUAGCGAAAUGCGAUACCUGGUGUGAAUUGCAGAAUCCCGCGAACCAUCGAGUCUUUGAACGCAAGUUGCGCCCGAGGCCUCUUGGCCGAGGGCACGCCUGCCUGGGCGUCACGCCAAACACGCUCCCACCCAACUAACUUGGGGUGGGACGCGGCAUGUGGCUCCUCGUCCCGCAAGGGGCGGUGGGCCAAAGAUCCGGCUGCCGGCCUAUCGUGCCGGACACAGCGCGUGGUAGGCGACCUCGCUUUACUAAACGCAGUGCCUCCGGCGCGUAGCCGACGCGAUGGCCCGAAUGGACCCUUUUAACGGAGUGCAUGACGCUUCGACCGCGACCCCAGGUCAGGCGGGACUACCCGCUGAGUUUAAGCAUAUC